CAGCUGCAUCAGAUUUGACCCCUGUGCCCUGUUGGCAUGUCCCCAUGCUUCCUGACUAGGGUUGGCAUCCCUGGAGUGAACUACAACCUGGGACUUUCAGAGACGGCUGUGGUUAGGCAGGGAGCAGCCCGUGUUCUGGAGUAGACCCAGACAUAAACCUAGUUCUUGAUUUGAGAACAGUGGUUCCCCUGAACUGGCUUGAUAAUGUGUUCCCAGCCGGGCAAGUCAGCCAUAGAGGGGCCUAGCAAUCCUCUGCCCCCCCCCCCCAGAUUCUUUGAAUUCUUCUUUUCUUUUUGUUGGUUUUGUUUGCCCAGUUGAGACAGGACCUCACUAUGAAGCCCAGGCUAGCCUUGAGUGAGAUCCCUCUGCCUCAUCCCCACAAGGGAAUAUGCAGGCUCCCUACCGUUUGGAAGCAGGAAUUCUGCAGGGCUCAGAGCCUCAGGAGCUCCUUCCCCAGCUGGGCAGAGCUGCACUUCCUGUGGAUGAGACCCACAGAAAUGCAAAGAUCAACUGGGCAGCAAGUGCCAAUCACCUGUCAUUGCUCCUCCCAUCACCAGAACAGACCGUUGUAUGAAUAAGAAUGACAUCUACGAGCACCUGCCGUGCUCCACUGAUUGUAUGGGAUGCUCAUGGGAUCUGUGCACCAGAGGGAGCAGGAUGCCAGGAGAGGCCAGUCUUGCAAACUUCUAACCCCCCAGGUUCUCAGUGGCAGAAGACUGACUGUACAGUGACUAAGGUGGCUUGUGGUUGAGCUGAACACUGCACUUGGAGCAUUUGUAGCUCCAGACCCCUUCGCGUUCCUGACCCUACAGAUGAGGUGAAUCAUGCUUGCUUCCUAUUCAGUCUUCAUGGGGUCAAGGAUCCACUUAGCACCUGUAUUAGUCUAUUCUGGCUUCAAGAAGAGCAUGCUGUAGACUAGGUGGCUUCUAAACAACAGACAUUGAUCUCUUGGCUGUGAAGGCUGAGGAGUUCACGAUCAAGAGAUUCAGUGUCUCACAAAGGCCAGCUUCCGAUGACUUCUCAUCAUGUCCUCCCAUGCCCGAGGGACGGAGUCUUUGGGUCUCAUUCACAAGGGCACUAUCCCCAGGGUCUACUCAACUCCCAAAGGUCUGCUUCCUGAUCCUAUCACAACGUGGACCAGGAUUGCAACCUUUGAUUGGAGGGUGGGGCAUAAAUAUCCAGUCACUGACAACACCCUUCCAAGAGCCCUUAGGAUUCAAAAUGAUAAGCGAAUUCUCCAUUCCGGAACUGAAACCAGAAAGAAAUCUACAGAAAGAGAAAGUCUAUUAGUGACAAGAAGAGAACGUUUCUGCUUUCCUGAAGAUAUACAGUUGGCCAUCUCAGAGGCUCUAGAUCCUAGAUCAUAGUACAGUGGAUAUGUUUGCUUAUAAAGAUAUUUUGAUGUGUUAGUUUAUAACUCAAAGAGAUUGCCAGAGUGGGGAUGAGGAGACCAAAAGACAUGUCUAAGGCUCUUAGUACAUCUUUUCAAAUUGCCUUCCAAGUGGGUCAGAUUAAUUUAUAUCUUAUUUGGGAUCUGUACUGGCUGGUUUUGUGUGUCAACUUGACGCAAGCUGGAGUUAUCACAGAGAAAGGUGCCUCCCUUGAGGAAAUGCCUCCAUGAGAUCCAGCUGUAGGGCAUUUUCUCAAUUAGUGAUCAAGGGCCCCUUGUGGGCGGUGCCAUCCCUAGGCUAGUAGUGCUGGGUUCUAUAAGAGAGCAAGCUGAGCAAGCCAGGGGAAGCAAGCCAGUAAGCAGCACCCCUCCAUGGCCUCUGCAUCAGCUCCUGCUUCCAAGUUCCUGCCCUGUGUGAGUUCCUGUCCUGACUUCCCUUGGUGGUGAACAGCAAUAUGGAAGUGUAAGCUGAAUAAACCUUUUUCCUCCCC
Molecule: long non-coding RNA, 1881 nt
Filed under: Mus pahari (shrew mouse)
Lineage: Eukaryota; Metazoa; Chordata; Mammalia; Rodentia; Muridae
Description: lncRNA (MGP_PahariEiJ_G0004646.1)
Source: RNAcentral